This 313-nucleotide long non-coding RNA is filed under the name Theobroma cacao (cacao). Its description in RNAcentral is "long non-coding RNA (TCAC_LNC002184)". Lineage: Eukaryota; Viridiplantae; Streptophyta; Magnoliopsida; Malvales; Malvaceae. The record is from RNAcentral.
CUUGUUUAAGUUUAGUGAAAAAUGUCAUGCUCAUAGAUUGAUCGCUUUGCAAUUUGAUAUACAAAGUUAUUAAAGUCUUCAAACCUAUUGGACCCUACUUUUAGCUGGGAGGAAAGAUUUCUCUAAAAUAUGAUCAUAUUACUAUUAAUUAUUUAAAUACAUGAAAGACCCCAUUAAUAUAUAUAUAUAUAUAUAUAUAUAUAUAUAUAGUAAUUAAAUUUAAUUNNNNNAAUAUAUAAUAUAUAUUAUAUAUAUAUACUAUGAAUAAAUUUUAAUUAUGAAAUUAUUUUUAAAUUAUGUACUAAGAUAAAAU